CAGAAAUAUAUCCAUACCUGCAGGAGGGCUUGAAGGGAGAUAAGCUGCUGAUCGCGUUCCUGGAGGAGGAUGGAGAAGACGCGGCGCUCCCUCAUCUUGUGCAGGAUGCCCACGCUCAGCGCCGCAGCGCCGAGUGCCAGCAGCAGCAGGAGGAGUAUCUUGUGCUGUUUACUGCAGAAUGAGGCUACUACUAUGGCAGCAAUAUGAAGAAACUGAACUUGUCUUUUUGGUUGCUUGGAUUCUGGAAAGAAAAGUAACUUGCUUAGUGAUGGAGAAACAUGGCACUGGGAGGUGCAGGCUGUUAGCUAGCGUAUACUGCUAUGCUUCACUUACUUCAAGGUGAGGCACAUGCUCUUCAAAAUUUGAUUAUUUAGUCCUUAUAGAGAUUAGGAGCAUAAAGUUUGGCACUUGACUUUUGUUAGUGUCUCGUAAGACGCUGGCAAUAGCUAGGAUGCCUGCACUUGUAUCUGAUCCCAGAGUAGGAUGUCUUGGAUCACAAAUUUAUUCCUUGGACAAACCCACAACUUUGCAUACAGUCCAUUGAACUCUUCUUUCUAUAGGAAAGUGGUCCGUAUCUUUGGGAUUUCUACCAAAUAAGCAAAUAAGCAAUUCAUGACAAUAAUUUUGACAAA
Oryza sativa Japonica Group (Japanese rice) is the source of this 632-nucleotide long non-coding RNA. RefSeq lists it as uncharacterized. Lineage: Eukaryota; Viridiplantae; Streptophyta; Magnoliopsida; Poales; Poaceae. The record is from RefSeq and is a predicted model, not a curated record.